Molecule: small nucleolar RNA, 137 nt
Organism: Panicum virgatum (switchgrass)
Lineage: Eukaryota; Viridiplantae; Streptophyta; Magnoliopsida; Poales; Poaceae
Product: small nucleolar RNA Z247
Exons: 1
Source: RefSeq, a predicted model, not a curated record
AAACUUGAUGAUGAUGAUAUUAUAGAAUAUAUUCUCAAUGGAUUGGAUGCUGAGUACAAUCCGUUUGUGUCUUCUAUGACUAUCAAAGACAACGUCAGUUUGAGUGAUUUAUAUGCUCAACUUCUCUCUUAUGAAGC